UCUCUCUCUCUCUCUCUUUCUCUCUCUCUCCAGAGUUAUCAGUCUCUCUCCAGUAUCAGUGUAUCUUCAGACUUACCCAGCAUCGUUGUCCGUCCUCUUCAGUACUUUGGAGAUGUGAGUAAGACUGUGUCUGAACUGAGAGAGAAACUAGAAGACUUCCUUAAAGGAGAAUGGACCAAGAUCUCCACUACAGUGAAUAUAGUGGAUGUUGUACUGCCUCCAGAGCCCAAGACCAGAGAACAGUUGUUACAAUAUUCCUGUCAGCUCACACUGGACCCUAACACAGCAAACACACUCCUCUCUCUGUCUAAAGGGAACAGAAAGGUGACCUAUACAGACCAAGUCCAACGAUAUCCUGACCAUCCAGACAGAUUCACCAACAACUACUGUCGGGUUCUGUGUAGAGAGGGUCUGUCUGGACGCUGUUACUGGGAGGUGGAGUGGACUGGUAAUGUUUAUACAGCAGUCUCAUAUAAAGACAUCAGCAGAACAGGGAGAGAUAGUGGAUUUGGACACAAUAACAAGUCCUGGAGUUUAAGGUGCUCUAGAGGUGGUUAUUGUUUCAGACACAAUAAUGUUGAGACUAAAGUAUCAGGCCCUCAGUCCUCCAGAGUAGGAGUGUACCUGGAUCACAAGGCAGGUACUCUGUCCUUCUACAGUGUCUCUUACACAAUGACCCUCCUCCACAGAGUCCAGACAACAUUCACUCAGACCCUCUAUCCUGGGUUUUAUCUCUCUGGUAAUUUGUGUAACUCUACUGUUAAGCUGGUUAAACUGUAGUAGGGCCCACAUAGAUACUAGUCAUGCUGGUGUAGUCUAUAGCUGAGCUGGUUAAACUGUAGUAGGGUCCACAUAGAUACUAGUCAUGCUGGUGUAGUCUAUAGCUGAGCUGGUUAAACUGUAGUAGGGUCCACAUAGAUACUAGUCAUGCUGGUGUAGUCUAUAGCUGAGCUGGUUAAACUGUAGUAGGGUCCACAUAGAUACUAGUCAUGCUGGUGUAGUCUAUAGCUGAGCUGGUUAAACUGUAGUAGGGUCCACAUAGAUACUAGUCAUGCUGGUGUAGUCUAUAGCUGAGCUGGUUAAACUGUAGUAGGGUCCACAUAGAUACUAGUCAUGCUGGUGUAGUCUACAGCUGAGCUGGUUAAACUGUAGU
Long non-coding RNA from Salvelinus fontinalis (brook trout), 1153 nucleotides. RefSeq lists it as uncharacterized. The record is from RefSeq and is a predicted model, not a curated record. Lineage: Eukaryota; Metazoa; Chordata; Actinopteri; Salmoniformes; Salmonidae. The transcript is spliced from 3 exons.